CCUACGGGAGACAGCAGUGAGGAAUAUUGGUCAAUGGGCGAGAGCCUGAACCAGCCAAGUCGCGUGAAGGAUGACGGCCCUACGGGUUGUAAACUUCUUUUGUCAGGGAGCAAUUGGGUCCACGCGUGGGCUUAGCGAGAGUACCUGAAGAAAAAGCAUCGGCUAACUCCGUGCCAGCAGCCGCGGUAAUACGGAGGAUGCGAUAGUUAUCCGGAUGUAUUGGGUUAAAAGGGUGCGUAGGCGGAAUAUCAAGUCAGCGGUAAAAAUUCGGGGCUCAACCCCGUCGUGCCGUUGAAACUUAGGUUCGUGAGUGGGCGAGAAGUAUGCGGAAUGCGUGGUGUAGCGGUGAAAUGCAUAGAUAUCACGCAGAACUCCGAUUGCGAAGGCAGCAUACCGGCGCCCAACUGACGCUGAAGCACGAAAGCGUGGGUAUCGAACAGGAUUAGAUACCCUUGUAGUC
RNAcentral lists this ribosomal RNA (460 nucleotides) under uncultured bacterium. RNAcentral describes it as "partial 16S ribosomal RNA". It matches the Rfam family "Bacterial small subunit ribosomal RNA", at positions 338 to 795 of the family's 1533-position model. The record is from RNAcentral.